UACGUAGGGUGCGAGCGUUGUCCGGAAUUAUUGGGCGUAAAGAGCUCGUAGGCGGUGUGUCACGUCGGCCGUGAAAACCUGCAGCUUAACUGUGGGCGUGCGGUCGAUACGGGCAUCACUGGAGUUCGGCAGGGGAGACUGGAAUUCCUGGUGUAGAGGUGAAAUGCGCAGAUAUCAGGAGGAACACCGGUGGCGAAGGCGGGUCUCUGGGCCGAUACUGACGCUGAGGAGCGAAAGCGUGGGGAGCAAACAGG
This 254-nucleotide ribosomal RNA is filed under the name uncultured bacterium. RNAcentral's name for it is "partial 16S ribosomal RNA". It matches the Rfam family "Bacterial small subunit ribosomal RNA", at positions 524 to 776 of the family's 1533-position model. The record is from RNAcentral.